UUAGGCAGCACAUAUACCUACUAACAUUGGGACGAUACAGAGAAGAUUAGCACGGCCCCUGCACCACUAUGACGCACAAAUUUGUGAGGUGUUCCGUAAAAAA
This is a small nuclear RNA of Zalophus californianus (California sea lion), 103 nucleotides long. NCBI's taxonomy places the organism in Eukaryota, Metazoa, Chordata, Mammalia, Carnivora, Otariidae. The record is from Ensembl.